AGAGUUUGAUCCUGGCUCAGGAUAAACGCUGGCGGCGUGCCUAACACAUGCAAGUCGAACGCCCUUGCUGACUUCGGUGAGCGAGGGAGUGGCGGACGGGUGAGUAACACAUGGGUACCUGCCUUUCAGUGAGGAAUACCGGCGAGAAAUCGCCGACAAGACCGCAUACGCUUCCCUUGUGAGAGGGAAGGAAAGUUCUUUCUUCGGGAGGGACGCUGAAAGAGGGGCCUGUGGCCGAUUAGCUAGUUGGGGGGGUAACGGCCUCCCAAGGCGACGAUCGGUAGCUGGUCUGAGAGGACGAUCAGCCACACUGGGAUUGAGAACGGCCCAGACUCCUACGGGGGGCAGCAGUGAGGAAUUUUCCGCAAUGGACGAAAGUCUGACGGAGCAACGCCGCGUGCAGGAGGAAGGUUUUCGGAUCGUAAACUGCUUUUCUGAGGGACGAGCAAGGACGGUACCUCAGGAAGAAGCCCCGGCUAACUACGUGCCAGCAGCCGCGGUAAUACGUAGGGGGCGAGCGUUGUCCGGAUUUAUUGGGCGUAAAGGGCACGCAGGCGGUCUACCGCGUUCGGAGUGACAGCUUCUGGCUUAACCGGGAGAGGGUUCUGAAAACGGGUAGACUUGAGGGCCAAAGAGGAACACAGAAUUCCGGGUGUAGUGGUGAAAUGCGUAGAUAUCCGGAGGAAUACCAAAGGCGAAGGCAGUGUUCUGGGUGGCAACUGACGCUGAGGUGCGAAAGCCAGGGGAGCGAACGGGAUUAGAUACCCCGGUAGUCCUGGCCGUAAACGAUGACCACUAGGCGUGUGGGGUAUCGACCCCCUACGUGCCGUCGUUAACACACUAAGUGGUCCGCCUGGGGAGUACGGUCGCAAGAUUAAAACUCAAAGGAAUUGACGG
RNAcentral lists this ribosomal RNA (897 nucleotides) under uncultured bacterium. Its description in RNAcentral is "bacterial SSU rRNA". It matches the Rfam family "Bacterial small subunit ribosomal RNA", at positions 8 to 916 of the family's 1533-position model. The record is from RNAcentral.